UGGGGUAGUCUGGAUAUCCCGUCGGGCUCAUAACCCGGAGAUCGAUGGUUCAAAUCCAUC
RNAcentral lists this transfer RNA (60 nucleotides) under Candidatus Poseidoniales archaeon. RNAcentral's name for it is "Marine Group II euryarchaeote (marine metagenome) tRNA-Met". It matches the Rfam family "tRNA", at positions 8 to 63 of the family's 71-position model. Rfam says of the family: Transfer RNA (tRNA) molecules are approximately 80 nucleotides in length. Their secondary structure includes four short double-helical elements and three loops (D, anti-codon, and T loops). Further hydrogen bonds mediate the characteristic L-shaped molecular structure. tRNAs have two regions of fundamental functional importance: the anti-codon, which is responsible for specific mRNA codon recognition, and the 3' end, to which the tRNAs corresponding amino acid is attached (by aminoacyl-tRNA synthetases). tRNAs cope with the degeneracy of the genetic code in two manners: having more than one tRNA (with a specific anti-codon) for a particular amino acid; and 'wobble' base-pairing, i.e. permitting non-standard base-pairing at the 3rd anti-codon position. Lineage: Archaea; Methanobacteriati; Thermoplasmatota; Candidatus Poseidoniia; Candidatus Poseidoniales. The record is from RNAcentral.